This is a long non-coding RNA of Vicia villosa (hairy vetch), 438 nucleotides long. RefSeq lists it as uncharacterized. Lineage: Eukaryota; Viridiplantae; Streptophyta; Magnoliopsida; Fabales; Fabaceae. The record is from RefSeq and is a predicted model, not a curated record. The transcript is spliced from 2 exons.
CUAUAAAGUGACCAUACAAAUUUUUACUUUAGCAACAAAUGUGAAAAAAUAUGGUUAAAAAUUUCAAAUUUUUUUAUAUUAUAAUUAUUUAUCUUUUCUUAUUUUUCAUUAUAACAGAUGGAGUAAUUUAUAGAUGCAAAUCUAAUAAAGAAUGUCGUAGGCAAAUGUUGUGUAUCUCUCCUAAACGUCCAACAUGCAUAGACAAUGUUUGUGUUUGUCGGUAAUAAUAGCAAUCGAGUGUUCAAAUUUAAUUGAUCGACUCAAAAGUUUAUUAUUGUCUUGUGUUUGUUAUCAAGAAUAAUGUAAUUCCACUAUAAUAAAUAAAGAUAGUAUAUGAUUAUAUAUAGUAUAAAUUAUUCUUAUUUUAAGUUUAACUAGUGUAAGGCUGAUGUAUGAUAUUAAUUAAAUUAAUAGAUUCUCUGAAAAGAGCUCAAACAA